This is a non-coding RNA of Ictidomys tridecemlineatus (thirteen-lined ground squirrel), 757 nucleotides long. The record is from RefSeq and is a predicted model, not a curated record. NCBI's taxonomy places the organism in Eukaryota, Metazoa, Chordata, Mammalia, Rodentia, Sciuridae.
CACUCUAUGGAUACUAUGCAAUAAUGAGAAUGAAUAAUCUGUGUCUACAUAAAACUGAGUGCAUCUAACAAACAAUAUAUUUGAAUGAAACAUAUCAGACAUGAAAGAGUACUGAUGGUUCUCAUUUUCAAAGAGUAUGAAACAGCAGGUUUCUUCUAAUAACAAGAAGAAUGGAGACACAUGAUAUUAGAAUCUAGUGUGCCAAAAGCAACCAGAGAGAACCAAGGACAAGAGUUUAAUGAUAACUACAAACAUCGCUUCUUCUGCUGCUCUGAUGCCAAAACCUCAGAAUGAGGUGUGUGUGCGGGGUUCUGGGGCAUACUACACCCCUGUUCCCGAGAAGAAGGAGCAGGUGAGGAGGCAAGCAGGGAGACCAUAGAGACCCAACACCCACUUGGAGCAUAGAGAAGAUUAGAUGUAAAGGAUCUACUACCUAUUGUCUCAGGGAAAAUAACCUUUCCUCCUAGCAGAGACAUGAAUGGGAGAGGAAAUUUUGAGUUGCACCACCCUCAAGUUCUAACACUCAGUAUCUCAGAAUGUGAAUGUAUCUGGAGACAGGACCUUUAAAGAGGAAAUUCAGUUCAAAUGAGGCCCCAUUCUGUGUGUCUGUACCCUUAGAAGAAGAGGAGGGCAGGACACAGAUAUGUACAGAAGGAAGACCAUAUGCAUAUGGGGAAAAGACAGCCAUUGGCAAAUCAGAGUAGGCUUUUCAAGAAAGCAACCCUGAAGAUAUCUUGACCUCUGACAUCCAACCUCC